RNAcentral lists this ribosomal RNA (642 nucleotides) under uncultured bacterium. RNAcentral describes it as "bacterial SSU rRNA". It matches the Rfam family "Bacterial small subunit ribosomal RNA", at positions 232 to 885 of the family's 1533-position model. The record is from RNAcentral.
CGCGGCCUAUCAGCUUGUUGGUGGGGUAAUGGCCUACCAAGGCGACGACGGGUAGCCGGCCUGAGAGGGUGAUCGGCCACACUGGAACUGAGACACGGCCCAGACUCCUACGGGAGGCAGCAGUGGGGAAUAUUGCACAAUGGGCGGAAGCCUGAUGCAGCGACGCCGCGUGGGGGAUGACGGUCUUCGGAUUGUAAACUCCUUUCAGUAGGGACGAAGCGAGAGUGACGGUACCUGCAGAAGAAGCACCGGCCAACUACGUGCCAGCAGCCGCGGUAAUACGUAGGGUGCGAGCGUUGUCCGGAAUUACUGGGCGUAAAGAGCUCGUAGGCGGUUUGUCACGUCGUCUGUGAAAUCCUCCAGCUCAACUGGGGGCGUGCAGGUGAUACGGGCUGACUUGAGUACUACAGGGGAGACUGGAAUUCCUGGUGUAGCGGUGAAAUGCGCAGAUAUCAGGAGGAACACCGGUGGCGAAGGCGGGUCUCUGGGUAGUAACUGACGCUGAGGAGCGAAAGCAUGGGGAGCAAACAGGAUUAGAUACCCUGGUAGUCCAUGCCGUAAACGGUGGGCGCUAGGCGUGGGGUCCUUCCACGGAUUCCGUGCCGUAGCUAACGCAUUAAGCGCCCCGCCUGGGGAGUACGG